This is a long non-coding RNA of Nicotiana attenuata, 452 nucleotides long. RefSeq lists it as uncharacterized. The transcript has 3 exons. The record is from RefSeq and is a predicted model, not a curated record. NCBI's taxonomy places the organism in Eukaryota, Viridiplantae, Streptophyta, Magnoliopsida, Solanales, Solanaceae.
CGCAACAUUGGACUGUAGAUGCAAUAGAUUCACAAGGAGCUAGCAAGAUACUUAAAGUGAAGAAAAGGAACGUGUUAAAUUUAUCUAAUGGAGAACAUAUUGUGGUUGAUUUUGACGACAUGGAUUCUCCCAUUGGUGAAGGACAAGGCGUUUUUGCAGGCUUUUGUGGAAUUUUAGCAACUGACUGCUCCAUUUUUCCAAUUCACUUUGAGAAAUGACCGGAUUUACCUGUGACAAUCUUCAACCGUUGUUAUGAUCGAUUUAUAAAGCCACGAUUUUGUUUUCGGACAACUGAGUCAAAUGCAAGACGAUAUGUUUAUAAUUUUAUGUGUAAGAAGUGGGGCGCAAAAAGGCUAAAGUUGUUUGAUAAGGUCUAUGAUCCACUUAAGAGCAGAGCUGAGAUAAUGGAUAGCGUUCCACUGGGAAUUCCACCAGAUCAAUGGAUUUCUUAU